Molecule: ribosomal RNA, 468 nt
Filed under: uncultured bacterium
Lineage: Bacteria
Description: partial 16S ribosomal RNA
Rfam family: Bacterial small subunit ribosomal RNA
Source: RNAcentral
GACGAACGCUGGCGGCGUGCUUAACACAUGCAAGUCGAACGGAAAGGCCCUGCUUUUGUGGGGUGCUCGAGUGGCGAACGGGUGAGUAACACGUGAGUAACCUGCCCUUGACUUUGGGAUAACUUCAGGAAACUGGGGCUAAUACCGGAUAGGAGCUCCUGCUGCAUGGUGGGGGUUGGAAAGUUUCGGCGGUUGGGGAUGGACUCGCGGCUUAUCAGCUUGUUGGUGGGGUAGUGGCUUACCAAGGCUUUGACGGGUAGCCGGCCUGAGAGGGUGACCGGCCACAAUGGGACUGAGAUACGGCCCAGACUCCUACGGGAGGCAGCAGUGGGGAAUAUUGCACAAUGGGCGGAAGCCUGAGGCAGCAACGCCGCGGGCGGGAUGACGGCCUUCGGGUUGUAAACCGCUUUCGCCUGUGACGAAGCGUGAGUGACGGUAAUGGGUAAAGAAGCACCGGCUAACUACGUG